RNAcentral lists this ribosomal RNA (120 nucleotides) under Bison bison bison. The record is from RNAcentral. Lineage: Eukaryota; Metazoa; Chordata; Mammalia; Artiodactyla; Bovidae.
GUCUCAGGCCGUAUCAGCCUGAAGGCGCCCGAUCUCGUCUGAUCUCGGAAGCUAAGCAGGGUCGGGCCUGGUUAGGAUUUUGGAUGGGAGACCACCUGGGAAUCCCGGGUGCUCGAGGCU